AGAGAAUACAGUAGAUAUAACAGUGAAUCCACUUGUCUGGCAAGAAGUAUCAGUUGGGAAAUUCGAGAACAAAUUUCCAUAUGGAGACAUCAAAUUCAAAUUCUCUGGUGUUUCUGGUGAUACCUGGAGGGGUCUGCUCCUCAAGGGCGUCCACAUUACCUCGUCCUCCUAAUCGAACCACCAACAAAAUUAAUAAAUAGUCUACUUAGCAGCCGCGAAUCAAAUUCUAUGUUUAGAUGGUUGUUAGGUAGUUGAUUAUCAUAUGCAUGCAACUUAUGUAAUAAAAUGAUUACUGCUGGUUGUUAGCUGCCUUGGCAUACUACCAAGUUGAUUAAUGGGCAAAAUCUACCUACAUAUAUAUGUUUUAAAUUUUAACAUCUCUCCUGAUCAAAUUAGUCUAUUUUUUUUGCAUUUUAUGAUCUAAAGAAAGAAUUAAUUUUGACAAAACUGUUAAAUCAUGGUAGUUAAUUAAUACAAACAAAUUUUUUGUAAAUUGAAAUUAUAAUCAUUAAACUUCACAAUAGAUUAUAGAAAGAUCUCAAUAACGCCCGCAAUGGUUGGUUCAGCUGGUUAAAAGAGGGGACUUGUAUCCUCUUGGUCACAUGUUUGGGUUUGGCUGCUUUCAUACCCAUACCUAAUUCCCCGUACCACCCAACCAAACGACCCCUUAAACUUAGAACAUGCAAAUUUUGAACUUAGAACAUACAAAUAUCAAAAUGUUCAUGGAUAUGAAAUAAGUCCAAAAUACUCGCUGAGAAGGAGGAACAAAUUAAACACUUGCACAAACAGCUAUGUUAACCAUUUUUUUUCUACAAUAUAUACACAUCAUAUUCAUGGGUAAAGACGACAACGUAUUCAUUACUCGCGUGUUUGACGAAAUUAGACGGUUAGCCGAAAGAUGGUUAUCGGUUUAAGGACGUAAGGGUGACCUUGCUUUUUCAGGGUAAGAAGGGGUAGAGAAAAUGUCUCGAGCCAAUGUUCGAGAAUCAAGCGCUACGGCGCUGAAGUAACCCAUGCCAUACUCUCGGGAAAAGCUCGAACGACCUUCAACAAAAGGGUACCUGUACCUGAAACCGCACAGGUAGGUAGGUAGAGAAUACCUAAGGGCGCGAGACAACUCUCUCUAAGGAACUCAGCAAAAUAGCUCCGUAACUUCGGGAGAAAGGGUGCCUCCUCACAAAGGGAUCGCAAUGAUUCAUAUAAAUCACUUAGUGGUAAAUGCUCAGAAUAAAUACAAAGUUUCUCGAUUUUUUUCAUUAUUGCAUUAUAAUAACAUAUUCUUUUGGGGUUAGUUAUACAUGUAGAAGAUGUAUAUUAAUAUCGUAAUAAUUCUCACUCUCAUGUUCACCUGGAAUCACACAAAACGAUGUGACGUAUUAUGUAAUAUCGCCGAAAUGUAUACCUUAUCAACUUCUAAUGGAUUACUUUUUCUCUCAUCUAACAUUAUUUUCCACAAUUGCGAAUCAAUCCCCAGUGAAAACUUUCGAGCUUUGAGUAGACUAGGUUCAAUAUUAAUUCAUCACACUACAAUGACACUAAUGUUGCGCGACAUGUACAGUACAUAGUUUCUCAAAAUCUGGCUAUGCUAUGCGUAAAUUUGAAGCUUGCUUGGUUUUGUUUCGAUGUGAUUAAAGUUUAAACUUGAGCUAUCAACCAUAGCAGAGCCAUCCAUAGAUUCCUAUAUUAGAAUCUAUUAGAAAGCCAUAUACUUUAUGAUCAGAAAAUAUUCUAGCUAUCUUAAUUCUUGGUGGUGCAGCUUAGCUUUGUUAUAGCGAUUUAUUGGCUUCUGCUUAAGUCAAAUCGUAUAUGCAACUUAAGUACCUCAGCCAAGUUAUUUAUUUCUUACUUUACGUAAUCCUACCUGUAAAACAAUUUUAAGCUCUUUGUACUCAUAACAAGAACACAUAAACUGUUUCGUUUACUGGAGUUAUGAUUACUUUGAGCCUUCUAGUACUCCUCCAAACGUCAACCAGAGUUUCAUUUGUGUUUGCAGUUGAAGGAUUUUAGUCUAAAUUGUUCCCAAAGUUCUGGCACACAGAUUAAUUCAAAUAUGACAGGAAUAAAAGAAUUAAUGCAGGGUCUAUGUCAUAUAAUUAAUGGAAAACUAAGGUCUGAUGAUCGUUCUAUAGUCAUAGAGCUUGUAUGUUCUAUUAUGACAUUGUUUGUGCUUUCGGUGAUCCUGCAACUAUGUAUGCCACCGUAUGGCAUUGAACAUACGUUAACAAAUUGAGCAAAAUCAAUAUCAAACGAAAAAGUUUGCACAAAAAUUGGGGAAACGUCAAUUUAUUGAUAGUGUUGAACAUUUUUUCAGUCGAGUUGAUAAGUUCGGACCUAAUAUAAAUCUCUUAAUUAUCAAUGGCAUAGAUUUGCUCAAGCACUUGCUCGACUUUGGACCGAACAAAAAAGAUAUAUUCGUGUGAGACUAUGAAACAGAAUCUUAAUCUGCAAGAGAUGCUAGAUGUUGAUGAGGAAUUGAUUAGGGAUUUGGAUUAAUCUGGCCAGCGGUGCUAUAAAUAGGACACACUACAUGAAAGUUUACCACAAGGCACAGAAUUCCAAAUACUUACAUAUUUAGUUAUAAGAUGGCUCAAGUAGCAAGGACUGAUGCGGCACAGGCUAUGAAAAUGGGAAAAGAACUCCCUCAUGUUGCUGGCUCAGAGGGGAAGACGGUAUGUCUACUGAAUUAUGACUCUGUAAUUAUAUAUCACAUAUUAAAUGAAGAACAUUACCGUAAUCUUAACUAUUCAUGUCUGGUAUAGCAAGUUGUGCCUUCUAAGGAGCUCCAUUACGCAGACCUUCAAGCAUGGAAAUUCAAGUAAGUACAUAAUAGUGCUGAUGGAGUUGGACUAAUUCUGCUCUAUCCAAUUGAAUUUUCUAAUUCUACUGUAUUAUGUAGUGAUGACACUGCUGAAUUUCUGGGAGGAAGCGAUCCCACAGUCGACGGAACUUACAGUGUGAAAAAUCUUGAAUUGGGAAAGAUGUACGAGGUGUCUUUUUAUAUGUCCAUAAAAAACCUUCCAGUGUCAAAUCAAGUGACACUUACCUUGGAGCUUCCGGGCGGGAAGAAAGAAGAGAAGACAGAAAAAAUUGUAGUAGUUCCACUUGUCUGGGAAGAAGUAUCUGUUGGGAAUUUCCUGAACGUGUAUCCAAGAGGAGACAUCAAAUUCAAAUUCUCUGGUGUUUCUGGUGAUACCUGGAAGGGUCUGCUCCUCAAGGGCGUCCACAUUACCUCUUCCUCCUAAUUGAACCACCGACAAAAAUAAAUACUCUGCUUAACAACUGCGAAUCAAAUUCUAUGUUUAGAUGGUUGUUAGGUAGUUGAUUAACAUAUGCAUGGAACUUAUGUAAUAAAACGACUACUACUGGCCGGUAGGCGGUAGCUGCCUAGCUUGUUGUACUAUCAAGUUGAUUAAUGGGCAAAAUCAUCACUACAACUUACCUGAGUAUGUUUUAAGUUGAUCUAACAUCUCUCUUGGCCUGACUAGUCUAUCUUUUUGCACACGUUUUACUCCCAACUAAAAGCACAUGAAUUAAUAUCAACUCCGAGACAUACACUUGCAAGUGCUUUAGCUACACAAUAUUAUUUUCAUGAUUUUCAUUUCGCGAAUUACAAUAACUAUUCUAUACUUUUAUUCACUGAAAAGUUACAAAAAUAAUAUUUUUGAAUAGGUAGUCAAAGCACUUGGAAGUAUUAGAUCAAGAAUCGAUGUGUUCUAUGAUGAUGAUGACUAGGUAUCUAUCGAACAGUUUGUGCCUGUUUUUCUGUUUAAUGUUUCUGCACAAUUGAUUUCUGCCUAAAACAAACCUGAUCCUCUCAGGUAACAAAUGAAAGAGCUCUCAUUUUUCCAUGGCCUCUAGUACAAUACACCAGAGGACGAUCAUCAGAGAACGAAUAGAUAAGAUGUGAAAACGUUUGACCCUUGAUUAGACUAUACUUAAAUUUGAAGAGUGCUUGCUUUUGUUUCGGACUAAUUAUCAAACUCAUCACUCAAGUCGACAAAAGAUAUCAACUUCAUCACUGAUCUUCACAGGGUCUCACUUGACUCGCUAAACAGAUUUAGCGCUAACAGAAUCAUAGACAGAGUGACUAUGCAGUAAAAAUGGCUGACGGGGCGACAACUAUGGAAUAGAUGGCAAAUGACUAGCCAGUUAAUUGUAAUUUUUUCUAGAUGUUUGUACCAAACAAAAACGUUGACAAAUACUUAUAUUUUUUUUCCAAAAUUAAUAUAUUUAUAUCAUCCUCUCACUUUCUUCAUGACAAUUUUGUUCCACAUUUAAUGAGGGUGCUAACGGGCUGACAAUUUCCCAUGAGCUUCUUCAAAAUCUUCUUUGUACAGCUUACUUGUGAUAUUAACAUUUCAUCAUCCAUUUGCUUCACUUUAAUGUCAAGAUACUGAGACAUAAGCCUAAUAUCAGUCAUCUCAAAUUCUCUUAACUAUGUCUUGCUUAAAUUUCUCAACAUAUUUGGAUUAUUUUCCAUUUUAAAAUUGGAAUUUAAGUAUUUUUUUCGUGUUUCUUUUUCAUUUUAAUUGACUCGGUUCUUCUAAACUUUCUAGUCAAAUCUUGUUUUUUAAUAUUAAAAAUUAGAAUAAAAUAUCCAAUCAACUAAUAAAUUAAUAAGAAAAACAUUCAUAAAUUAUACUCCCUCUGUUUUUUAUUAUUUGACACUUUAACUUUUGACACACACUUUUAAAUCCUUUGACUGGGUUGUUAAAAAUAUUAUUUUUAAUUUUUUUUUUCUGAAUAAAAAUAUAUAAUCAAAAUUUUAGUUCACAAAAAAAUCAAUCAAAAACAAUAUUUUUAACUACUCGGUCAAAGCACUUAAAACUGUGUGGCAGAAGUCAAAACGUCAAAUAAUAAAAAACACAAAGAGUAAAGGGGUAACAAUUAUGCAUCAAAUUGAUCCUAAAUAUGUUAUUCAAAAUAUUAUUAUGUAUUUAAUUUAUUGACACCCCCGUUAGUGUCAAUUCUGGCUUAGAGUUCAAGCCAGAAAGAUGGAUAACUGAACGAGGAGGGAUUAAACAUGAGCCGUCCUACAAAUUUAGUGUCUUUAAUGCAGGGCCAAGAUUGUGUAUAGGUAAGGAUUGUUGUAAAUAUAAAACUAGAAUUAUUACUAUAGAAUAAGAUAGUAAUUGAUAUGUACAAGAGCAGAACUCUCUCAAGAACUACAUUGUACUUUUCUUGUUAUAUUCCUCCUUGUACCUCUAAAAAGAGAUUACAUGCCAUAUUUAAAACAAACGUACUUGACUCCUAAUAGUAUUCUACUACUAUUCUAAUAAAUCUCCUAAAACAAGAUAGACUCAAUAUCUCCUACAAACUCUGUAGAACUCCAACAAACAUCCAACUACUUCAAUCUUAAAUUAAUCCUCCAAAUAAAUAACUAAACAAAUAAUAAUAAUAACUAAAUUUAAGAUUAUUCCAACAAUCACCCCCAUAAUCUUAAAUUUACUUAACAUAAUUUAUGAAGCACUUCUCUUCAUCUGUGAUGCACUUCUCACCACCACCAAUUUGGUUGAUGCACUUUUCAUCAACACCAAUUUGUUGAUGCACUUUUCAUCAACACCCAAUUUACUGGAGCACUUCUCUCCAUCAUCCUGAGCACCAAGGCUUCAGCUUUUUUCUCUAAUUUUAACUUCUACUGGCUAGUGCAAACAGAGUAGAAAGUAGCCCCAUAUGCAUCCCAUACUGCACAUGAUGAUACCUCCCACUUGCCCAUACCGCAUCAAAUCUUUCUCGGCAGCCCUUCUGUUGUAACCACCUUCUCAGCUUGAAUUGCUUCUUGAAAAUCAUAUUAUUAUGCCACAAAGAACCUGGCUCUGAUACCAUGUUGUAAAAUAAAACUAGAAUUAUUACUAUAGAAUAAGAUAGUAAUUGAUAUGUACAAGAGCAGAACUCUCUCAAGAACUACAUUGUACUUUUCUUGUUAUAUUCCUCCUUGUACCUCUAAAAAGAGAUUACAUGUCAUAUUUAAUACAAACGUACUUGACUCCUAAUAGUAUUCUACUACUAUUCUAAUAAAUCUCCUAAAACAAGAUAGACUCAAUAUCUCCUACAAACUCUCUAGAACUCCAACAAACAUCCAACUACUUCAAUCUUAAAUUAAUCCUCCAAAUAAAUAACUAAACAAAUAAUAAUAAUAACUAAAUUUAAGAUUAUUCCAACAAGGAUAUGGCGCUCACUCAAAUGAAGAUGGAUGCCACCGCAAUUAUACAUGAUUACAGUGUUAAGAUGGUUGAAGGUCAUCCGGUAGUCCCCAGGGAUUCUGUCGUCAUGGAAAUGAAAUAUGGUUUAAAAGUAAGGCUAGCUAUAUAAAAGAAGUGGCCACUCGGACCCUUCUAACUAAUGAACCAGUACGAUCGAGUUUGUCGUUACUAUUAAAGCUGGUUGCUUGUAAUGCUAUUGAAUAAAGUGAGCAUACGCUGUGAAUUGUGAUGCCUCACAUUUGUGAUUCGAGUGAGUAUGGUGUUUCAAUAUAAUAUUAUGGGUAUAAAUUAUAUUAUAGUGCAGUGAUCACUUCUACUAACACGAAUUUCCAAUCUGUAAGAGAGAGUGAAUAUGUUAGGGCCGAGAAUGACCAAGAGUCGUCGUAAUUAAAGAAGAAUUGGGAUGACAAAUAUGAAUAUUUUCGAAGCAAGUCGAUGAAAUAGUAAAUAACCCCUAUAUAUAUAAUGUAACCUACGACAUACGUUACCCCUUAUUAUGAUCUUCAGCCAUCGAUAUAAAUUUGUUUAACUUUACUGAAAUACAAGUACAGAGAAAACCUGAAAUCAGCAAGUUAUUCAUCUCAAACCCUAAAGUCAUCCUCAACAUGUAGCCAAUUCUUCAUCAGUAUGUGUUGCUAAAUUUGUAAUAAAAGUUUCAAACUGAAACGAUUGAGAAAUACACCUUAGUUUUUGGUUAUUUUCGACAUGUCAACUCCACUGAAACAUUAUUUCAUGUACAAAUGGAUAACUAUAGACCAAGUAUAAUCUGCAUGUAGUAUAGGUUAAAUGGUAGGUAUAAUGGCGUACAUCUCAUAAUAUGUUGGUCCUGUACAGUUUGUUGAAUACAAGGUUCGGUGGCUUCAGGUUGAUAUGGGUGCCAAAUCAGCUGCAACAGGCUUCAACUUUUCUACUCUAGUUGAAUAGGUUAAAGAAUUCUUCGCCAUAGUGUCCUUUAUUUAAGUCGCACGUGUUAAUUUCUUAUACACCAUUUUGUGUGUCGAGAACGGGUUACGGGUUAUUAUGUUAGUUAUUUAUAAAAAUACAAAUAAUGUUAAAGGUUCAAAUCUCAUCAUUGCAUAUACUAUUUCAUAUUAUUUGAUCUUAAGUUAAAAUUAUACACAUUCGAAUCAAAAGUAUUUAAUUAUUUAUAUUAGUAUUUAAGUUUAUGUGUGUGUGCGAACGGGCAUGACUAAAUUUACAUGCCGAUAAAAUAUCAAUGACUAUAAUUAAAAGAAUAUGGUAAUGACAUAGUGAUGUUCAAACGAAACAAUAUAUUUAGGAAACAAUAGAUGAGGUUCACGUAUAGGUGGAUGAAUUUAGAGCUAAAAUUGCUUGCUCUAGCCAGUAGUUCAUGUUGAGUAGACUUCAGUUGAUAACGCAGUCAAAUAAUCAAAAUAUCAUCCAAGCAAAGUCAGCAGAUUAGGAUUUUUAGUGACCCUUAUCUCAAGGUCAAAACUGUAUCAACUUUACAAGCAUUUGUUCUUUGUAUAGUCGGUGUUUCUUCAUAAUUUGUAAUAAUUCACAUUAUUGUUCUUUGUAUAAUCGGUGUUUCUUAAUAAUUUGUAAUAAAUCACAUUAAAACUUGAUAAAAGUAUAAAUUUUACAGUGGCGGAAUUUGAUCAUAAUAUUAUUCGCACCUAUUUGACUCGUUUUUAUCUCCAGUGGCGGAACCAAGAUUAAGUGUUGGGGGGAUGAACUAAACCAGAACAUAAAUUAAGGGAUAAGUAGUAUGUCUGCGUGUCUUAACCAUCAUGAUAGAAAGAUUUCCUAUACUUUAAAAUCCAGAUUAAUCUUUAUCUGCUCUCACAUCAUAGAUAAAAUUGUCUAACUGAUUUGAUAACAACUCCAGGUCUAGUAAAGAGAAACCCAUCGGAUGAAAUUGUGCAAAGGCAGACCAGUUUUGAGUUAUUGAAACUUGAAAAUUAAUUCCUAGGAUCCAAAGAGCCAAUACAAAGUAGUAGCUCUAUGUUUUCUUCUGUGAAACAGUUAUUCAUCUCUUGGGAAACAGUUACCAUAGCUCUAUGGUUCCUUCUAUAUGUUUCCUUUGUAAAACGGUUCCUUCAAUAGUCAAUGUGUAUGUAUGACUUAUGAAAGCAUGUCCAAAAGCUUCUUCAUAUGGGCUCUUUAGCCAAAAUUUGAAGAAUAUGGAGAUGAAAUGAACUCCAACAAGCUCAGCACCUCUUCAAAAACUUAGGAGUUUUGUUUGCUUCCUCAACAAUGAGGAGCACACUCUCCCUCUUAACUAUAUUUUAUAUUAUUUUUCUUAUAUACAAAGUACUCAACAUGCAUGAUACAAUUUAGAUCAAGUGCCUUCUCUUUUCUUUUUUUGCAAUAAAUCCCUCUCUAUGAUAUUUAUAAUUCAACGGGGGCUAAAAAAAUCAUAUUGACAUCAAUAAUUCAGCGGGGGCUGAAAAAAAAAUAUCCAUUGUUUUUUCGAGGUUAGAGGGGCUCUAGCAUCCCCUAGCCCUCCUCUGGUUCCGCCACUGUUUAUCCCUAAUCGAAUAUUGAAGUUCUACGAAUUUCAUAAGUUACGUAUAUAUUAAAAUUUAGAAAUUUUAGAGGGGGUAAAUAAACAAAAAUUGUAGCAACCUGCAUCUCCAUAAUAGUGAUCACCAAAUUUGAGAUUGAUUUUACGAUUUCCUAGUUCAUAGAUACCAAUAUCAGACACGACCCGAACCCGCAACCCGAUUUAUUGAGAUAAAACCUGAAAGUGAUCCGAAAAUCACCCGAUUGACAUGAAAUGGACCCGAAAUGACCCGAAAUUAGAAUUUCGUUUCUAAUAACUUCAAUUUUUAGUUUUAUUUAAUUUUAGAUGAUUUUAGCUUGACCCGAAAUUGACCCGAUUGCUGACACGAACACGACCCGUUACCCCAAAUUGCCACCUCUGGAUACCAUAAGUUGUAAGCUAACCUGCGCCAUCCUCAUCAUAGAAAUAUACAGUAUGCAGUAGGAUUGCUAUCCAUUGUGAUCAUAAAAAAUAAUAGUAUUAAAAAAUUAAAAUAAUUUUAAAAAUAAAUAUAACAUAGAAUCCAAUAUAAUGCAUACAUGUUUUUUCAUUGUUUGAAAUAAAUCACAAUAAAACUUGAUAUAAUUAUAAAUCAUAUCAAGUAAAUAUAAUAACCAGUGAACUUAUACGCCUCACUAAUCUUAAUUUUUGGCUUUUCCAGUCAUGCCCCAAACAUGAUACUAGUAUAAAGUAAGAAAAUGUGUAUCUUAAUCUUUAACCACAUGCUAGCAUUAACAAAGACAAGAGAGACAAAUAGUUCUUAGUGACAACAAAGCCAAAUGUAUUGUUGGAGAAUAUUCAAGUCCUAUAAAUAUCAUCAGAAGUUACAUAAAUAUUAAAAAUUAGAAAUUUUAGAAGGGGUAAAUAAAUGAAAAUUGUAGCAACCUGCAUCUCCAGAGUAGUGAUUAGCAGAUUUGGAUUUGAUUUUACGAGUUCCCACUUCAUAGAUACCAUAAGUUGUAAGCUGACCUACGCCGUCCUCGUCAUAGAAAUAUAUGCAGUUGGACUUGUAUCCAUUGUGAUCAUCAACUGAUAUACUCAUACCUUCAUUCCAUAGCAAAAUUAUGGAUUCUUUUUCAGGAAGGUUGCUUAUUUCUUUCCAGUAGUAGGGGUAGUAGUUGCUUCUUCUGAUGUCAUAAUUAUUGUCACUACUAUUCAGCUUGAAAAUACGAAAAGAUCUGCUGACUUUAUUAUCUUCAACUAACCUCAUGACCAUCAAUAACACUUUAUGUUUUGAUUCCAAGAGAUAAAAAAAGCAGCGGUCAUUAAACCCCAAAAGCAAAUUACCAUUAAACACUGGGCCCGCUAUCUUUAUCUCCUUCCAUGGAUGACCUAUCCCAACACUGGUGUUGCCAUUAAGGAUUUCACUGUUGUAAAGAAAGAGCUCUCCACUGUUACUAAUGGUGUAAAACUUUCCACCACUAAAAGUAUAGUCUUCUGACUUUUCAUGCAAGAUGACCCAUGAUGUUGAUGAGGCUGGUCGACAAAAAGCUAGGUAAUUAUUGUAAUCAUCGUAGCCACCCCAAUGUCCUCGUUUAUUAGAAAACUUGAGACAAAUCAUGCAUUCAUGAUCAGUCGGUGAAGCUCCAGAUGACACAAAUUUCAUAUGGUAAAGCAUGUGAAUUUGUGGUAGAACGGGAAGUUGGAGAAGAACUAAUGUGAUAGGAUUAUAAAGAAAUGGUAGGUUAUCAUAAUUGCCUAGAAGUAACCACCCAUCACAUGAAGCAAAAGUUCUCAAAUGAAAGAGAUCAAGGGUAAAGGAAAAGCUAGCAUCACUUUUAUUAAUAUCAAGGCUAGGAGGGUGUUUAUAAAAAUUGUAUAAAUCUGUUUUUAAAUUUAUCUUCGUGGAUGCAUCUAUAGUAGACACUAACCACGGAGUUGUAGGCAAGAUGUGAUUCCGCCAUAUUUGUUUAGCAACAGAUCGCCAUGAAUGGCAAACAGCAAGACACUGAUAAAGAUCAAUCAUGUUAAAGUUUUUUCUAUUAUGGACGAAUCCAAAGAUGAUGAAGAGUAUAUCAACAGGCAGGUCAGCCCAAGACAUUCUGCUGGUCUGAUUAAUGAUGCAAGGGAUGUUCCUGUAAAAAAAAGUAGGUGAUAAAUAGUAAGAAACUGCACGGGGCAUUAUAAACAACAUAAAAUGUAAACAUUUAGGUCACCAUCUGAUGUCACAAGGAUUGUUAGAAGUUGCCAAGCUUUUGAACUUUACUGAUGGGGAAUAAUAACAAAAGGGAUAUCUUUUAUUUACUAGUAGCUAAUUUAGUUAUAUGUAAAAUUAGUUUCAACCUAAAACAGGUUUAGUGUGUAUCCUACUUAUGAUGGUAGUGACUAUGUAUGUUGACUGUGUGUACAAUCUAGCUGUUAGUAGUUGCAGCUAGAUAUUUUUGCUAGUUAGGUGGGAGUUGAACUACUAAUUUUACCUGGCUGUGUUGGUCUGUGAACAGCCUAUUUAUAUGCAUGUAUUAGCUCCUUAUGGAGGCAGACUUUGAUUUUAUAUAUAACUUCUUCUCUGAAUAUUGAUAAUGUAUCAAUUUGGGGAUAGCUUGGGGUAGAGAUUGUCCUGCGGUUCAAUCUCCUGAGGUUUAUAAUCACUGUUCUUGUUGUGUUUAUCAUUAUCUUGUUAUUAUAAUCUUAUUCUUGUCAUUGUGCUGCGUCAAAUUGGCGUCAGAGCUAAAAUUCUGGUCGUUAUCAUUGUUAAAGUUCAUCCUACUGUUAAUGUUCAUCAUCUGCUAUAUUCACUCUGAUUUCUGUCCAAACCUGACCAAUUCUACAUAUAAUCCAGAAACCUAAUUUCAGUCCCUGAAUACCAUUCUUCUUUACCAAAAAAUCAGGAACAUAACACCAUCAUAUCACUACCAUGGCACCACCAGAUUCAACCAUUUCCAUUUGCUGCCCAGUAACCUACAAAGCUGCACCAUUCUUAUUUUUUUUAAACCCUUUAAACACUCGGUUUCAGUUCUCACAACGCAAUCCAUACACUUACUAAUUGAAACAAGCAUCACACCCACAAUUACUCACCAAAGCAGAAAAGAUAACAGGUCUGGGAAAAGAGAUCAAGAAAGAUCAUAGAGAGAAGCAACAGGGAGGAAGAUUGACAAGAAAGAAAAACAGAGAAAAAGAAACUUAUUAAAAACGGCUGCUUUUCUAAACUGCUGCUGUAUUUAAAACAAAUAUGUGCAGCCUUUGUAACCUCUGAUCUACUGACUGUUCAGACCCUUAAACUUCUGAAUUUGAGAAAAUCAGCCCCAAUUCUGUCUAUUAAAUCAUGUCCAAGCGUAUAAAGUCUGGAAUUGAGAUAGUAAAGGAUAAUAUACACUGUCUUCAGGAUGAAUGUGAUUCCUUACACUAUGAGAUUUAUGCCUGUUAUCAUCGAAACAAGCUAUUUGAAUAUGAGCUUACAUUGAAGGAGUUAGAUAAAUCAUAUUAUGAACUUGAAAACUUGAAACAAAAGUACAAAGUUCAAUUGAGAAAAGAAGAGGAAAAGAGUAAGAAGAGACAACAGAGGUUUUAUGAAAUGUUUAUACCUCAACUUCUUAGCGGGAAUCACAAAUCCAAUUUGGAGAAGGAAGAAAUAGUCAAAGGAGAUGAAAUUGCACAUGAAAUCAAUCAUGUUGAAGAUUGUGUAAAAGACAAGCAGUCUCCUAUACUAUAUGGUUUGGGUUGCUAGGAUAAUGAUAGUACUACAGUUCAAUGGUUAUUCUAUAAAGCUGAUUAUCUAUUCUGGGCAUCAUCAGCUGUCACGAAGUUAUCGAGAUGAUCUCAGAAGAUUUAUAUUUUUACAGUUUCAUUAGACGGUGAGUGCUACCAACCAAGUGAGAACUGAAAAUGGAGAAAAACUGGUUAAAUAUCUUUUCUCCAGAUUACCCAAAACUUGAGGGAAAUGUGAUAAUGGUUGUGGUAGUCGAUGUCAUAAUAAUUACUUAACUAGGCCCAGGUCUUACAACGAAUCAUCCAUAUACCUCAAUCAAUGUGUCAAACUGUAAUGCAAGUGAGAAAAGCAGCCUAUUCACUAGUGUAUUUAGUAAAUAAGACACCAAUUUGGAACAUAAUUGGUCAUAAGCACAUCAUACCAUUCCAAGCUAACUAAAAAAACUGCACAAAUUAAUCACUACUACACAUUUGGACUUACAUAGCGGUCAUUUUUAAACUUACAUAGCGGUUCUAGGCACUAUACAAGACAGCGCUAUGCAAGUACAAUAAACUUACAUAGCGCUUCAUUUUCCACUCUCUAAGAACAAUACCUACAUAGCGUCUGAAGAAGCGUUAUCUAAAUAAGCAUCAUCCAAGUCAAUUCUACUUCAAUACCACUUCUAUAAACGCUGUACAAGUAGCAUAUGUAUAUGACAAUCUUCCUUGCAUAGUUCUUAUAUAAACAUUGUGCAAGUAAAAGUACCAUCUUCACUACUUAUUUACAUAACUAUUAUUCAAACGCUAUCCAAGUGGAAAUUUUAUAAAAAUCCUUAAAAAAAAUUGAAAUAAAAAAUCCUAACUUUUUUAAAAAAAAUACUAAUAUAAUUAAUUUUCUGCCCUUUUUUAAAUUACACAAUCAAUUCGAGAAAAUUCACAAAUUAUUUUAAAAAAAUAUGUGACCCUUAUUCCAAUAAAAAUAAAUUAAUUAAUUACUCAUGAAUUUAUUUGUUUACAACUAAAAUCAAUUCCAAAUAAACAUAUAUUGAACAUAAAACAUGAAAUCCUCUAUAAUUAAAUAUUUCACAAUUCAAAACACUACUGUACAUAAGUUUGCCUGAUAAUGUUUUCACAAAAUUAAAUACAUCUCCUAAUUUCUUUUUCUUGGUUCUUGGAGAAAGAGAGUGAACAUUAUAGCUAUAUAAAUAUAUUUAUUUAUGUAAACUACAAUCAACAGAAUGGUUAGGAGAAAAGCCUGACUUCUGAACUAGACCUACUUAAAAAAAACAGAGAAUAAAAGGAAAAACUAAUAAAUAAAAAAACCUUGAUAAAUCAGAUAUGCUGUCGGCCUCAGGCCUCAUUAGAAGCUGCUCAGAACCAACACUGCUACCACACUAUGUCUUCCAAUCGAUCAUCAAAUUCUAAAUAAAAGUUGGUGGCUGAGUUAAAUUUUACCAAUUUUUAUCAGCUACAGUUUUUAAUAACAGUAAUUCAAAAGACUGAUCUUAAUUUUGGUAUGCUCUGUUAAAAUAUUUCCUAGUCUUAUAUCAGCUUCAUCUUAAGUUAGAAUUAUCAUUACUAUUCCUAUAGUUAUCUGCACUGAAACACUUGAUUUUAGGUAAGUGUUCUGGAGAAAAGCCUGACUUCUGAACUAGAUGUACUUCAAAAAAACAGGGAAUAAAAGAAACACUUAUCAUGGGAGAAACCUCGCUAAAUCAGAUUAUAGAUGGAAAAGUUAAAAUUAACUCCCUUCAUGAAAAAGAUUAUACGACUAAAAUCAAGCCAGUAGUUCUAAAGCCAACAUACUUAAUAAAAACUUGUCGAAAUAGAUGCAUCAUCAAAUGUAAAGCUAAAGGUUUGAUUUGGUAAAGAUGUACCUAGAAAUAAGGGCUACAUGUUUUAUGAGAAAAUAGCUAGCAGAAUACGCAAGUGAUGAGAUAAACAAUUCAUAUGCUAUAAAUAGACAUAACAGGAGCAUAUAUGAUGUACCGAGUGGAACAAAAAAAACUAUGUUUUGGGAGUGAGGAGUUAGAGCUGUAGCUCUGAGAGAAAAAAGAAAGGCAGAUUAUAAAAAGUUAACAAAGACUAGAUUCAUUGUACAAAACCUGCUGGUGAUUAAACUGAGGAAAUAUGCAAAUGCCCUAUCGAUUCCUAAACCAAAUCAAGAAUUCUAUUUUUUUUAAUUUAAACAGAGCCCAUUAUGUUGAUUCAAAUAUUGAGCAUAAGUACAUGUAUAAAUAAACUGUACCUCUGCUUGCUAGGAUAUAUUUACAAGCAUAUUUUUUAAACAACAAAAGCAACUCAGCCACAUUAAGAACAUAAAAAAGAUACAUCAACACAUCACAGGAGGCAACAGGAAUUGAAAUAACUGUUUUCAACACAUAACUUGUAUACAUAUACGCAGAUCAUAAGAAUAGAGCAGAGCACAUAAAUCAAAACCCUAAAACAUUAAAAUCUAACAAAUUGAAGAUAACCCAAUCAAGAUAAUUAAUCACAAAUUGAAUAUAAUAGGAGACAAAUCAAACCCCUUGAAUAUACACACAUAUAUAUACACACACAAGUUAGAAUAAUACCUAAUUUCUUUAAUAAAUGAGUUUGAUUCAGAAAUGUAGACAGUGGAUGUGGGUUGUAAACGGAGGAGUAAGAUGCAGCAAUUGAUCACCGAGGCACCGAUGGGUUUAGCCGUUCAGCAAUGCAUGGUGAGGACUGUUUCGCCCAAUCUAUCAGUGUACGUGGUGAUUUUUUUAGUGUACGAGCAGUUAUCUGUAAAAAAUAAAACUACUUAGGAUAUGUUAACUACAAGAAUGGUUUUAUAAAUGCUAUAGAAGUAUUAAUAAUUUAAAAUAUAUAAAAAUAAUAUUAUUUGAAAUAUGUAUACUUCCACAACGUUUAUAGAAAUGCUAUUGUAAUAUGUAUUAUUAUAUUACUUUUAAUACAUGUACUUUUAUAGCGUUUAUAGAAUUGUUAUUGUAGUGAUAUUCAUUUUUUAUUAUUUAUUUAAUUCUUUUAACAGUAGCUUAUAUACCGGUUUUUGCAAAGACGCUAUACAAGUAAUAUUACCUAGAAGGGUGAGGUUCAAAUCAGAACAUAUACUAAAAUUAGAACUUAGGACCGUAGACAUCCGUCAGAUUUAUUUAAAAUCUAUGGCUAUGAUCUAAAGGGCAUGUAUAUUAAAUCAUUUAAUAUCUUCCCUCAUUAAAGCACACAUUAUGUUUUACAUUAUAUUAUGUAAUAAAUUAUAUAUUAUAUCUCACUAUUUCAAGAAAUAUAUCACACAUGAUAUAAUUAUCGUAUACCAUUGCAGUAUAUCUAAGCAAUAGAUAAAAUAAUCAACUCAAUUCAUAAAUAUAUUAUAGUAUACCAUUGCAGUAUAUUUAAGUUACAGAUGAAAUAAUGAAUUCACUAAUUAUUUCAUUUUGUCUUAUAUCGUAUUUUUGAAUGGAAUAUAUUAUUUUAUCUAUUACUUACAUAUACUGCAAUGGUAUAUACUAUAGUUAUGUUAUUUUUGUAUUAGUUCGACAAUAGUGUAAGAGUAUAAUUUAUGAUAUACUGCAAUAGUAUUUUUUUUUAUUUUAAUGAAUAUAUGUCAUAAAAAGAUAUAUUUAUUAUAUAUUUUAAAUAUAUAAAAAAUGAUAUAUUGAAUAUAUUGGUAUACUGUAGUUUAUAUGUUCCUUAACAAUAGUAUGAUAUAAUUAAAAACACAUAAGAAAUAAUCUAUUUACAAAAUAGAGUAUACUGCAGAAUAUAUAAUAAUUAAAAUUAAAACUAAAACUAGUUAUGGUAAGUAAGUCAUUUUAUUUAAAGUGAUUAGUUGAUGGUCAUAAAUAUGUACAUAUUUAAUGCUUAUAGUACUUCAUAAUUAAACGUAAUUUCAAUCUCAACCAUAUAAUAUACUUAGAUCUAAUGGUCCUCAGUGAGUUCUAAGUUCUAACAAUAACUUGGUUCUAUCUCGAACUUGACCCUUACCUAGAAGGGUGAGGUUCAAAUCAGAACAUAUACUAAAAUUAGAUGUAUACUUUCAUAACAUUUAUUGAAACGCUAUUCUAGUUAUCCUAAUAUUACUUAAAAUAUGUAUCCUUCUACAGCAUUUAUAGAAAUACUAUUGUAGUUGUAUAAUAUUGCUUAAAAUACAUAUACUUGUAUAGCGGUUAUAGAAUUAUUAUUGUAGUAAUAUCCUUUUUUUUAAAAUUAUUUUCAAUCCUUUUUAAUAGUAGGUUAUAAACCGUUUUUUGUAAAAAUGCUAUACAAGUAAUAUACUUGGAUAACGUAUACGAAAAAACACUAUCCAAGUACCAUGACAGCAAUGAUUCGCUAUGAACCCCCUUGAUAUCUUGUGCCAUAUCUCGGCUACAUUCAGAGAACUAUUUGUGUUUUAUUGAUCUCUUUUCAGGUGGUUUAAUUUAUAGAAAAGAUGAUGAAGCUUGGUGAUUCAAUCCAAGCUUUCAAGCACUUGAUCUUUUCUUUUCUUAUUGGAGCUUGAGAGGACAAGUAGAUAAGAUGCAAUAAUUAUCUUCAACCAAUGACUUAUAUAAAGUAUAGUUUUAUAACUUAUUCUUAAAAAAAAUUGUUUAUGAAUAAAAAAUUAAUCAUUAAACUUUUAUUUAGAAGGAAAAAAAGUUUUAAAAUAAGUAAUACUUUCCUUUUUUGAUGUCCCACUCAAUUCUAUACAUUUCAUUUCAAAAUUUUCCUAAAAUAAUAACCUUUUAUAAUAUAAAAGUCUCAACUACCCAUAACUUUCAUCAACUUUUUCAAAUCUAUCAAUUAAAUAUUGUUGGGUCCCGCCACUUUACCCACAUUUCUUUCUCUUUUUCCACUACUUUAGCUUAUUUUAUACACUUUUCUUAAUCUCCAUGUCCAUUCCAAACGUAUAUAACUCCGAGGGACGGAGGAAGUAACUCAAUUGGGCGGAGGGACUAAUAUUUUCAUUGAAUAUUAGACCUUAUCAACCUUUGAGGGAUUUACUUUUUCUUCAUCAAUCUUAUUUUCCACAACUGUGAAUCAAUUUACCACACUACAAUGACACUGAUAUUGUUAUACCACAUAUACAGUACAUGGUUUAUCAGCAGCUGAUGAAAAUCUGGCGAUGCUAUGCGUAAAUUUGAAGCUUGUUUGGUUUUGUUUCCAUGCGUUUAAACUUGAGCUAUCAACAAUAGUAGAGCCAUCCAUAGAUUCCUGAAUCAGAAUCUAUUAGAAAGUCAUAUACUAUGAUCAGAAUAUAUUCUAGCUAGCCUUAUUCUUGGUGGGUGCAGCUUAUCUAUCUUAUAUUCAUUAAUUUCUGCUGAAGUCAAUCGUAAAUGCAACUUAAGCACCUGAGCGUUGUAAUUUAUUUUCUUACUUUCCAUAAUCCUACUUGUAAAACAAUUUUAAGCUCUUUGUACUCGUAACAGGAACACAUAAACUGUUUCAUUUACUUGAUUUAUGAUUACUUUGACCUUCUCGUACUCCUCCAAAACAUCAACUGGAGUUCCAUUUGUGUUUGCAGUUGAAGGAUUUUGGUCUAAAAUGUUCCACAAUUCUGGUACACAGCUUAAUCCAAAUAUGACAGUAUAAAAUGCAGGGUGUACGUUCACUUACAUGGAAUGGAAUGAGGGGAUAAUGGAAUGAAAAAUUAUAUAUAAGUUUUAUGAAGAAAGAAUAAAGUAUAAGAUGAUAGUGACUAAAUAUGAAUAGGUUUAAAUUUCUUGUGAUAAAGAUUGUAAGGAAACAUGAUGUAGAAAUGGAAUGAGCAUUACUUCCAAAACAUGUGGAUUAGAAUUCCAGUUGAAAUAGUAGGAAUGGAAUGAUUGAAAGAAUGAAAAUUAUAGAUAUUUAGAGGGGUGUAUUGGAUUGGGAUUUUAAAGCAUUUUUUUGCAUUCAUGAAAUCCGAGGGUAUUCGAUUGGGAUUGUUUGAAAUCCAUUAAAAUCUUGAGGUAUUCGAUUGGGAUUUUAAGCUAUGCUACAAAAUCUGGUGGUAUUCAAUUGGGAUUUUAAAUUAUGCUUUAAUAUCCGAAGGUAUUCAAUUGGGAUUGUUUAAAAUCCAUUAAAAUCUGAUGGUAUUCAAAUGCUGAUGGAUUUUUUUUCAUUUCAUAAAAUGAUGGAUUUUGUGGCAUUCUUCAGUGUAUUUUAAGUUUUUUGAAAUCCCACCAAAUUCAAUGGGAUUUUGAAGCAUUGUACCUAAAUCCUAUCAACUCUGCGACAUUUCAUCAAGAAUCCGCAAAAAAUCAAAAUCCCAUACAAUCCAUUAAAAUCCAUAGACUAAAAACAAUGCAUUAAAAUCCCAAUCGAAUACACCCCCGUUAAUCUAAUCAACAGUUAGAGUACAAAAUUCAUUCUAUUCUCCCUCAUUUCCGUUUCACCCAUGUGAACACAACCUAAAGUCUAAUGAUCAUUCGAUAGUCAUAGAGCUUGUAUAUUCUGUUAUGACAUUGUUUCUGCUUUUGGUAAUCCUGCAACUAUGUAUGCCACCGUAUGGCAUUGAACAUACGUUAACAAAUUGAGCAAAAUCAAUAUCAAACGAAAAAGUUUGCACCCAAAGUUGGGGAAACGUCAAUUUAUUGACAGUGUUGAACCUUUUUUCAGCCUAGUUGAUAAGUUCGAAAUUAAUGGCAUAGAUUUGCUCAAGCACUUACUCGACUUUGGAGCGAAAAAAAAAAGAUAUAGUCUUGUGGGAUUAUUACACAGAAUCUGAAUCUGCUGCCUUGCAAGAGAUGCUUGAUGUUGGUGAGGAAUUGAUUAGGAAUUUGGAUUAAUCUGGAUACCGGUCCUAUAAAUAGCACCACUACAAGAGAGGUUACCACAAGGCAGAACCAAAUACUUACACAUUUAGUUAUAAGAUGGCUCAAGUUGCGAAGAUUGAUGUGGCACAAACUGUGAAAAUGGGAGAAAAACUCCCUCCUGUUGCUGACUUGAAGCAGCAGAUGGUAUGUCUACUAAUUAUGACUGUGUAAUUAUAUACGUAUUCCGUCCCGCUCAUUAUGUCCUCAUUUCCUAUUCUGCUUGUCCAAAAACUAUUAUUUACAUGUAUUAAAGAGUAGAUUUCAAGGGAGGGGCCAAACUUUACAGACUCUAGCCACAAUAUUGUCAUUUUCGAAUGUCAACCACUUUUUUGUAACACUCUGAAAAGUUUGGUCACACCCUUAAAUUAACUCUAUAUUAAAUAUAGUAAAUUGAGUAUUAAUUAUGUUAAUAUUUUUUUAAACAAUACAACUUUUUGGUAAUUAUCGACUAAUCUAAUGUGAAUGAGGGAAUAUUAUAUGAUACAUAAACAUUAUCGUAACCUUAACUAUUCAUGUCUGCUGUAGGAUGUUGUGCCUGCUAAGGAUCUCACUUAUGCAAACCCUCAAUCAUGGAAAUUCCAGUAAGUACAUAUUAGUGCAUUAAAAAUUAAAAUAGUAAAAUGAACUGACUGAACAUGGAAUGAUGGAGUCGGACUAACUCUAUUGUAUCCAAUAAAAUUUUCUAAAUUCUUCUGUAUGCCUGUGUAUGCAGUGGUGAAACUGCUGAAUUUGUGGGAAAAGGCGAUCCAACGGUCCAUGGAACUUAUGAUGUGAAAAAACUUGACAAAGGACUGGUGUACGAGGUGUAUUUUUAUGUGACUAUGAAAGACAAUCAGGUGACAAGUCCAGUGAAACUAAUCUUGGAGCUUCCAAAUGGAACCAAGCAAGAGAAGACUGAACAAAUAACACUAGAUCCACUUGUCUGGAAAGCAGUAUCAGUUGGGAAAUUCUUGAACCUGUUUCAAACUGGAGACAUCAAAUUCACAUUCUCCGGUGUCACUGGUGAUACCUGGAAGGGUAUGCUCCUCGAAUGCGUCCUGAUUAGCCCUUCCUUUUGAAUCCACCAACAAAAAUAAAUAAUCUGCUUAACAGCCAACAAAUUAACUUCUAUGCUUAGAUGGUUGUUAGGUAGUUGAUUAAUAUAUGCACUUAUGUAAUAAAACGACUACCACUGGUUGGUAGCUGCCUAGCUUGUCAUACUAUCAAGUUGAUUAAUGGGCAAAAU
This 20313-nucleotide long non-coding RNA is filed under the name Daucus carota (carrot). Its description in RNAcentral is "long non-coding RNA (DCAR_LNC000717)". The record is from RNAcentral. Lineage: Eukaryota; Viridiplantae; Streptophyta; Magnoliopsida; Apiales; Apiaceae.